UCAUUACCAAGUUUACGAGUCAUGCUAACCUUAUAAAUACCGAGACCCUUCGACACCCUCAUGUCAUCCUCGAAAUCAUCUCACACUUUCACAGCCGAAACCCUUGCCGGAAGCUUGGAGCUCACAACCCGGAAGACCGCAGUCCUCUGUGAAGAACCGCCGCCGCCGGAGCUAUUGCCGUCGCCGGAGAAGACGACCGAAGCUCGACCUUUCGGUAUGCAAAACAUGUUGUUCAUUCUCUGUCUUGCUCUUUGUUCAUUAUAAUCAACUAGAAACUGGGUUGGGUUAACUGUGGGUUAAUGAAGAAUAAACGAAGCUCGGAGAAAACGCACCGGAGAUCACCGGAACUGACUCGCGUUGUGCUCGGGUAAUCUCUUGCACACUCUUGGAUAAUCUUUCUACUCCUCUUCUUUACCAAGAAAUACGCAACGCAAUCAAAGGUUGAAAGUACAGGAUUCAAGAAUCAAGCUAGGAUGAACUCUAGAAACCCACAUAACCUUUGAAUUAUUGUUGAACAAUAUGUUGUAUUGUUUGGAACUAUGUAUCUCACUUUAGAGUUUAUGAAAUGAAUUAAAUAAAUUAUUGUCACAUUUAGUGUUAUGUUGUUUUGAGCAAUUUGUUCGUCUCAUCCCGAUGUUUCCGCCAUCGGUUGGGGUGUGA
This 660-nucleotide long non-coding RNA is filed under the name Helianthus annuus (common sunflower). The record is from RNAcentral. Lineage: Eukaryota; Viridiplantae; Streptophyta; Magnoliopsida; Asterales; Asteraceae.